RNAcentral lists this long non-coding RNA (2932 nucleotides) under Musa acuminata (dwarf banana). Its description in RNAcentral is "long non-coding RNA (MACU_LNC002646)". The record is from RNAcentral. Lineage: Eukaryota; Viridiplantae; Streptophyta; Magnoliopsida; Zingiberales; Musaceae.
GGCUCCGGCGGUCGGUAGUGUCGCUGCCCUGCGGUUCUCUUGGCCAUGAGUCGUGCCUCUUCCAGCUCGUUUUAGUUCGGACUCGUCCUUCUCCUACCCCGAUCUGUCUCCUGGGUACUCUCCUCUGAAGUAAAAAUCGGAUUUUUCGCGGGGUUUUGCCCUCUUUUCCCGCUGCUCGAUCUCUUAAACAAAACGUUAUGGGGUUUUCACUGGCUUUCAUGGUUUCGAGGGGUUUUGGCUGCGAUUCCUCGUAAAAUGUUAGUCCAUUUCGGCUUUUUAGGAAAGAUAUAGUCUUUCUGCCAAAAAAUGUCAAAAGAUCUUUCUGUUCUAUCCAAAAACUCUACCCUAAUGCGAUUGCUUUCUGGACAUGGAAAAGAGAUAUUUUCGAUUCAUUUAUUGAUUUUGCUGUAAUAAAUUCUGAAGUUUAUGGGAAGAAAGCGUCAAAAGAUCCCUUUUAAUGGAUUAAAGUUUAUGCUCCAAGUGAUUCAUUAAGUGGGUUAACAUUUGUUUUGUACAUUUAUCACUGAUUUAAACAGACUUAAUGCUAAUAUGCAAUCCUCGGUGUAAGAAGUAAGAUGGUCGAAAUAUACGUCGAGGCCAAUAAUAAUUAGAUGCAAAUGAUCCAACCACAUCAUUAGAUUGGAUGAGUUGCUGCAGUGUUUGACAAGGAUUUAGCUGCAAUCCGAUUAAUAAUUCUUUUAUCAGCUAUUUACAUAGUUAUGGUUUAUUUUACUUAAGUUAGCCUGUGUGUCUAAUGUGGAAGCCAUCUCUCACAUACAUAGAAUGGAGGACAUAUGCACAAGUAGAAGGGUAAACUAGGAUAUCUCCGUUUAGUUUCUUUUGUUUCUCAUGUUGAAUGUGCAUUGAUCAGGAUACAAGUUUCGACAUGGCCGAAAUGCUGGUGAUCAGAGAGAAAAAUGAAGUGAAGAAUGGAAAUAAUGAGCCUGUUGAUGCUGAUGAUGACGAAGAUGGUGAUGUUGGGGAGGGUGAAGAUGAGUUGUCUGAUGACAAUGGGGAGGAAUAUGAGAACCCCGAUACCGAUAAUGGCAAGAAAAAUCCAGGUGGAGACGAUCAGAAGGGAGAGGGAGAGGAGGAGGACGUUGAGGGUGAAGAUCAUGAGGAGGAGGACGACGAAGAUGGUGUAGAGGAGGAUCGGGAGGACAAGGAUAAAAGAGGAAGACGAGAAAAAGAAGAAGAGAGACAUGGUUUUAGUUGUAGUUUGUUUUGUUCUUUCAAGAUCAGAGCAGACUUCAAGCACAGCCAUUAGGAAAUAAAACAAGAAAACUCAUGCGUGCAGCUCUAUUUUAGUAUCAGAAUUAGAGACAAAUGCAGCUCAAUUAUUCCUCAUCUAACAUAGCUUGAAUACUUUUUCUUUCUGCUCAUCUUUGCUGCUCUAAUUUAGUAUCAGAAUUUUCAAAACAUAGACUCAAAUGCAGCUCAAUUAUUCCUCAUUCAACAUAGCUUGGAUAAGUUCUUUGUGGAAAAAUGUAGAAUAUAUCUUGAAAAUGAGACAGAAGCUGGUUUUGUGGGGUAGAAUUAAGUCAUGCAGGUGCUUCUACUGCUGCUUCUCUCUACAGAAUCAAAUCAUAGCUUGAAGUUUUCUGAUGAUGGGUUAAGUGAAUUGGAUUGAAGAGGAGAUAAACAAGGAAUACAGAUAUCACCAAUGUCAAAUCUAAUUUACAAAUGUUUGUGUGAAUUUUUAGUACAUAUUUCCACACUUUUUAAAAUUUUCCUUGCUCUACAUUUCAUUUUUUUCAGUCUUGAAACUAAUUCUAACUUAGGAACAAAAACAUAGCUAUAGAUUGACACAAUCAAGUAAAUAAAUUACAUACAUAUUAUUUACCUAGAUAUUCCUUUCACUAGUAUGCUGUUUCAAGUUGAUUCUCAAAAUAUUUUUUAUGUCAAAUUAUUUGGUGAAUUAUUGGGUCCGAGUUAACCAAAUCAGCUGAACUGAAAUAUGAGACAAUCACAGUCAGUUUAAAUUUUUUUUGCUUACAAGACUUUGGCAUCGACUGUGAUACCAUUAACAAUGAUUAAGAAUGGAUUUGAUUCACAGAAUCAAUAGUUCGAAUACUAAUUGGACACAAGAAAUAAAUUGAGAACUAACUUGAAAUAGCACCCAAAGUCAAAGAGCUACCUAAGAAGUUUAGCCUUUGUGUAUUUACAUUCACAUACAUACAUACAUACAUUCAUGCAUAGCAUAUCUGUGUCUGAAGUCAGCAAUAUUAAGAAGAAGACUAGACAUUUAGGCUGUCCAUGAUAGAGGUGUAAAGCACAGAGUGUUGUGAAGUCUAUCCAUUAUAAAAUUGACCCUACUGUGCCUACCACCAACAUCUCCAUGUUAAUAGCCUUAUCUGAUUUCGGCAUCACAAAUUAGAUAGAUUUACUUUACAUAAUGGCAACAAAAUCUUCCAGUCCAAAUCCAUUUUCAAAAAAUGACAAUCAAGCAGAUUCUCUUCUGAAGAAACUGAGUCUAGUAUAAAUAGAGAUCCUACCCUUCACAACUUUCCUUUCAUGAAGAAACUUUGAAUCAGAAAGCUGAAAUUCUGUAAGAUCUCCACCCAACAACUGUCUCUAUUGGAAGUCUCACCUCCCUCUCCUCCCACUGGCACAAGAUCAGCACUUGAAAAUAACGGCAGUUAAGAGCUUAAAGAUGAUGGUAGAUCUUCAAUUCUUCUCCAACAUCAUCAUGUCUUCUCGGUCCAACAGUAAACAAUGGCAGAUAAGUUUCUACUUCGACUUGCCCUGUUUCCUCUUCUAUUGGUUGAGUUUUAUCUCAUGGUUUGAUCAGUUUCAGAUGACCGGCUGGGAAUCAGUGCAAGAUGGCAGCAGCCACUACGAUUACAUUGAUAGAUGCUACACAAAAGUAGACUGCAUGGUCCCCUGCGAAGCAUCUGGCCACUCACCAGGCACGGUGCUGCGUGUCCCUGAU